Molecule: ribosomal RNA, 497 nt
Filed under: uncultured bacterium
Lineage: Bacteria
Description: partial 16S ribosomal RNA
Rfam family: Bacterial small subunit ribosomal RNA
Source: RNAcentral
GACGAACGCUGGCGGCGUGCCUAAUACAUGCAAGUCGAGCGGACUUUCAAGAAGCUUGCUUUUUGAAAGUUAGCGGCGGACGGGUGAGUAACACGUGGGCAACCUGCCUGCAAGACGGGGAUAACUCCGGGAAACCGGGGCUAAUACCGGAUAAUAUCUUCCUUCGCAUGAAGGAAGGUUGAAAGGCGGCGCACGCUGCCGCUUGCAGAUGGGCCCGCGGCGCAUUAGCUAGUUGGUGAGGUAACGGCUCACCAAGGCGACGAUGCGUAGCCGACCUGAGAGGGUGAUCGGCCACACUGGGACUGAGACACGGCCCAGACUCCUACGGGAGGCAGCAGUAGGGAAUCUUCCGCAAUGGACGAAAGUCUGACGGAGCAACGCCGCGUGAGCGAAGAAGGUCUUCGGAUCGUAAAGCUCUGUUGUCAGGGAAGAACAAGUACCGUUCGAACAGGGCGGUACCUUGACGGUACCUGACCAGAAAGCCACGGCUAACUACG